AUUGAACGCUGGCGGUAGGCUUAACACAUGCAAGUCGUGCGAGAAAGUAUCUUCGGAUAUGAGUAGAGCGGCGGACGGGUGAGUAACGCGUAGGAAUCUACCUAGUAGAAGGGGAUAGCCCGGGGAAACCCGGAUUAAUACCGUAUACCUCCUUCGGGAGAAAGAAGGCCUCUCUUUGAAGCUUUCGCUAUUAGAUGAGCCUGCGUAAGAUUAGCUUGUUGGUGAGGUAAAGGCUCACCAAGGCGACGAUCUUUAGCUGGUCUGAGAGGACGAUCAGCCACAUUGGGACUGAGACACGGCCCAGACUCCUACGGGAGGCAGCAGUGGGGAAUAUUGGACAAUGGGCGCAAGCCUGAUCCAGCCAUACCGCGUGUGUGAAGAAGGCCUUCGGGUUGUAAAGCACUUUAAGCAGGGAGAAAAAGUUAUAAGUUAAUACCUUAUAACCGUGAUGUUACCUGCAGAAUAAGCACCGGCUAAUUCCGUGCCAGCAGCCGCGGUAAUACGGAAGGUGCAAGCGUUAAUCGGAAUUACUGGGCGUAAAGCGCGCGUAGGUGGUUUGUUAAGUUGGAUGUGAAAGCCCUGGGCUCAACCUAGGAACUGCAUCCAAAACUAACUCACUAGAGUACGAUAGAGGGAGGUAGAAUUCAUAGUGUAGCGGUGGAAUGCGUAGAUAUUAUGAAGAAUACCAGUGGCGAAGGCGGCCUCCUGGAUCUGUACUGACACUGAGGUGCGAAAGCGUGGGUAGCGAACAGGAUUAGAUACCCUGGUAGUCCACGCCGUAAA
RNAcentral lists this ribosomal RNA (783 nucleotides) under uncultured Gammaproteobacteria bacterium. Its description in RNAcentral is "bacterial SSU rRNA". It matches the Rfam family "Bacterial small subunit ribosomal RNA", at positions 28 to 806 of the family's 1533-position model. Lineage: Bacteria; Pseudomonadati; Pseudomonadota; Gammaproteobacteria. The record is from RNAcentral.